AGCAGCCGCGGUAAUUCCAGCUCCAAUAGCGUAUAUUAAAGUUGUUGCAGUUAAAAAGCUCGUAGUUGAAUUUCGGGAUCAAUACGUCGGUCGUGCUUCGGUACGUACUGGCGUAAUUGGUUUCUACCUUCUGAAGAACCUCGAUGUCAUUAAUUUGGUGUCUUGGGGAAUCAGGACUGUUACUUUGAAAAAAUUAGAGUGUUUAAAGCAGGCAUUAGCUUGAAUACAUUAGCAUGGAAUAAUGAAAUAGGACGUUCGAACCUAUUUUGUUGGUUUCUAGGAUUGACGUAAUGAUUAAUAGGGAUAGUUGGGGGCAUUAGUAUUCAAUUGUCAGAGGUGAAAUUCUUGGAUUUAUUGAAGACUAACUACUGCGAAAGCAUUUGCCAAGGAUGUUUUCAUUAAUCAAGAACGGAAGUUAGGGGAUCGAAGACGAUCAGAUACCGUCGUAGUCUUAACCAUAAACUAUGCCGACUAGGGAUCGGAUGAUGUUAAUUUUUAAUGACUCAUUCGCGCCUUACGG
This 520-nucleotide ribosomal RNA is filed under the name uncultured Glomus. Its description in RNAcentral is "SSU rRNA". It matches the Rfam family "Eukaryotic small subunit ribosomal RNA", at positions 569 to 1093 of the family's 1831-position model. The record is from RNAcentral. Lineage: Eukaryota; Fungi; Glomeromycota; Glomeromycetes; Glomerales; Glomeraceae.